CCUACGGGAGGCAGCAGUGAGGAAUAUUGGUCAAUGGACGGAAGUCUGAACCAGCCAUGCCGCGUGCAGGAAGACGGCUCUAUGAGUUGUAAACUGCUUUUGUACAAGGGUAAACCUGAAUACGUGUAUUCAGCUGAAAGUACUGUACGAAUAAGGAUCGGCUAACUCCGUGCCGGCAGCCGCGGUAAUACGGAGGAUGCGAGCGUUAUCCGGAUUUAUUGGGUUAAAGGGGUGCGUAGGCGGACUAUCAAGUCAGCGGUAAAACUUCGGGGUUCAACCCCGUAGUGCCGUUGAAACUGGUGUUAUUGAGUGGACGAGAAGUAUGCGGAAUGCGUGGUGUAGCGGUGAAAUGCAUAGAUAUCACGCAGAACUCCGAUUGCGAAGGCAGCAUACCGGCGCCCAACUGACGCUGAGGCACGAAAGCGUGGGUAUCGAACAGGAUUAGAUACCCCUGUAGUC
Molecule: ribosomal RNA, 459 nt
Filed under: uncultured bacterium
Lineage: Bacteria
Description: partial 16S ribosomal RNA
Rfam family: Bacterial small subunit ribosomal RNA
Source: RNAcentral